Molecule: ribosomal RNA, 253 nt
Filed under: uncultured bacterium
Lineage: Bacteria
Description: partial 16S ribosomal RNA
Rfam family: Bacterial small subunit ribosomal RNA
Source: RNAcentral
GACGAAGGAUCCAAGCGUUAUCCGGAUUCAUUGGGUUUAAAGGGUGCGUAGGCGGAUUUGUAAGUCAGUGGUGAAAGCCGAUAGCUCAACUAUCGAACUGCCAUUGAUACUGCAGAUCUAGAAUAUAGAUGAUGUUGGCGGAAUAUGACAUGUAGCGGUGAAAUGCAUAGAUAUGACAUAGAACACCAAUUGCGAAGGCAGCUUACUACACAAAUAUUGACGCUGAGGCACGAAAGCGUGGGGAUCAAACAGG